This 294-nucleotide ribosomal RNA is filed under the name Atheta sp. 1 JCT-2008. RNAcentral's name for it is "partial 12S ribosomal RNA". The record is from RNAcentral. Lineage: Eukaryota; Metazoa; Arthropoda; Insecta; Coleoptera; Staphylinidae.
AUAGUUAUAUUCUUAAAAGUUAAAAAUUUUGGCGGUAUUUUAAUCUACUCAGAGGAACCUGUCCUAUAAUUGAUAUUCCACGAUUAAAUUAACUUGUUUUAAAAAUUUGUAUAUCGUCGUAGUUGAAUAUUUUAAUAGAAAAUAAAUGUUCUAAAUUUUUUAUUUAAAAAUAAAUCAGAUCAAGGUGCAGUUUAUAGAUAAGAUGAGAUGGGUUACAAUAAAGUUAUUUUUGGAUUAAUUUUUAAAAAAAAUUAUGAAAAUGGAUUUGAUAGUAAUUAGGUUAAUAUAGAUUUA